RNAcentral lists this long non-coding RNA (133 nucleotides) under Cyanistes caeruleus (blue tit). RNAcentral describes it as "lncRNA (ENSCCEG00000016371.1)". Lineage: Eukaryota; Metazoa; Chordata; Aves; Passeriformes; Paridae. The record is from RNAcentral.
UUAGCCUUUCAAGAAGAUGUUUGAAGAAAAAAAAAUACUAUUUUCUUAAAAAAUUCCUGCAAGAAAUUAAAGCAGUCCUUGAGUCUUGGUGGCAGAGGGAAUCUACAAAGGAGCCCAGUUCUCCAGUUUCCCC